AUACGUAGGGGGCGAGCGUUGUCCGGAAUGAUUGGGCGUAAAGGGCGCGUAGGCGGCUUUGCAAGUCAGAAGUGGAAGUCCAUUUUUCAAGGAUGGAAGUGCUACAGAAACUGCGGAGCUUGAGUGCAGGAGAGGUUAUCGGAAUUCCCGGAGUAGCGGUGAAAUGCGUAGAGAUCGGGAGGAACACCAGUGGCGAAGGCGGGUAACUGGACUGCAACUGACGCUGAGGCGCGAAAGUGUGGGGAGCAAACAGGAUUAGAUACCCUGGUAGUCCACACUGUAAACGAUGAAUGCUAGGUGUAGGAGGUAUCGACCCCUUCUGUGCCGUCGUUAACACAAUAAGUACCCCGCCUGGGGAGUACGGUCGCAAGACUAAAACUCAAAUGAAUUGGCGGGG
This 397-nucleotide ribosomal RNA is filed under the name uncultured bacterium. RNAcentral describes it as "partial 16S ribosomal RNA". It matches the Rfam family "Bacterial small subunit ribosomal RNA", at positions 523 to 918 of the family's 1533-position model. The record is from RNAcentral.